GAUGAAGAACGCAGCGAAAUGCGAUAAGUAGUGUGAAUUGCAGAAUUCAGUGAAUCAUCGAAUCUUUGAACGCACAUUGCGCCCCUUGGUAUUCCUUAGGGCAUGCCUGUUCGAGCGUCAUUUAAACCUUCAAGCUCAGCUUGGUGUUGGGUGACUGUCCGCUUCACCGCGGACUCGCCUCAAAAUUAUUGGCGGCCGGUACAUUGGCUUCGAGCGCAGCAGAAACGCGAACUCGGGCCCGUCGUAUUGGCUCCCAGAAGCUAUCUUCACAAUUUUGACCUCGGAUCAGGUAGGGAUACCCGCUGAACUUAAGCAUAUCAAUAAGCGGAGGA
RNAcentral lists this unclassified non-coding RNA (332 nucleotides) under soil metagenome. Its description in RNAcentral is "partial contains 5.8S ribosomal RNA, internal transcribed spacer 2, and large subunit ribosomal RNA". The stretch from base 1 to 120 matches the Rfam family "5.8S ribosomal RNA", at positions 35 to 154 of the family's 154-position model. The record is from RNAcentral.